AUCUAUCAAUGUUAAUAAAUGGUCAGAGUGAGAAAAGGAAGAGAAAUUAGAGAUAAAUUUAAAAAGAAGAAAAAUUGAGAGAGAAAUAAAAGAAAUAAGAUAUUAAUCCUAAGUCCUAACCAAUGAUUAGAAAAUUAGAAAUAUAAGGACGGCUAUACUCCAAAUAGCACACUAGCCUUACUCUCUCUCUCUCUCUCUCUCUCUCUCUCUCUCUCUCUCUAUAUAUAUAUAGUUGAGCUAGAAUACUCCCAAAAGCAUCAUGAAGGUGGUGCUUUUGAGUUUUUAGCCAUUGGAUUGAGAGAUGUGAGGUUGAGAAGAUGGUGGUAGGUGGUGGUAGGUGGAAUAGUAUUUGAUCCAAAGGCUAUUAAUAAUCAAAGAGUAGAUCCAAAAGCUAGAAACUUAGAAGCACCAAGAAUUGGUGCUUUUAAAAGUAUUCUAGCUCAAUUAUAUAUAUAUAUAUAUAUAUAUAUAUAUAUAGAGUGAGGCUACUAUGCUAUCGGAAGCACAGAGCCUUCCGUGCUUCCAGCUCAUUUUCGACGUUGCGACUUUUGAAUCGUCGAUCGGCCUCGUUAAACUUGAUCUA
Molecule: long non-coding RNA, 583 nt
Filed under: Ananas comosus (pineapple)
Lineage: Eukaryota; Viridiplantae; Streptophyta; Magnoliopsida; Poales; Bromeliaceae
Description: long non-coding RNA (ACOM_LNC041314)
Source: RNAcentral